GUCCCAAAAUUCACGCAAGAAGUAAUUUUGAUAGAAAACACAGGUUUAUAAUUAAAAAUUGUAAAUUUUUUAUUGAUUCAUAAAGUACACAGUAUAGGGUUAUGUAUGAAAUAGCAUAUUGGAGGGCAGACCAACAAGAAAUUCUUCCUGCCUUUGAACUAUCUCUCUUUUAUGGAGAUAUUUCUUCCCAGUUGCCAGGAAGAAAUUGUAAGUGAAGUGAGUAGGGAGGGACAAGGCAUGUUCAUGGUAUCAGGGUCAAGGGUCCCAAAGGACUUAGCUUGUGUUGUGGCCACUAAGAAAUGACACACAGAUCUUUGGUAAUCUGAUGGCU
This is a small nucleolar RNA of Myotis lucifugus (little brown bat), 331 nucleotides long. The record is from Ensembl. Lineage: Eukaryota; Metazoa; Chordata; Mammalia; Chiroptera; Vespertilionidae.